UCAAAUCCAAAAUGCGGUAAAACACUAC
Molecule: non-coding RNA, 28 nt
Filed under: Bombyx mori (domestic silkworm)
Lineage: Eukaryota; Metazoa; Arthropoda; Insecta; Lepidoptera; Bombycidae
Source: RNAcentral